AUUGAACGCUGGCGGCAGGCCUAACACAUGCAAGUCGAGCGGAGCGGCAGUCGGGUGAGUAAUGCCUAGGAAUCUGCCUGUUAGUGGGAGAUAACGUCAGGAAACGGGCGCUAAUGCCACAUACUAUCACCUGCGCCUCGGUCGGAUUAGCUAGUUGGAGGGGAAAAGGCCUACCAAGGCGACGAUCCGUCACUGGUCUGAGAGGAUGAACAGCCAACCUGGAACUGAGACACGGCCCAGACUCCUCCGGGAGGCAGCAGUGGGGAAUAUUGGACAAUGGGCGAAAUCCUGAUCCAGCCAUCCCGCGUGUGUGAAGAAUGUCUUCGGAUUGUAAAGUACUUUAAGUUGGGAGGCGUUACCAACAGAAUAAGCACCGGCUAACUACGUGCCAGCAGCCGCGGUAAUAC
RNAcentral lists this ribosomal RNA (407 nucleotides) under uncultured bacterium. Its description in RNAcentral is "partial 16S ribosomal RNA". It matches the Rfam family "Bacterial small subunit ribosomal RNA", at positions 30 to 526 of the family's 1533-position model. The record is from RNAcentral.